CAGCCGCCGCGGUAAUACGAAGGGGGCUAGCGUUGCUCGGAAUCACUGGGCGUAAAGGGUGCGUAGGCGGGUUUUUAAGUCAGGGGUGAAAUCCUGGAGCUCAACUCCAGAACUGCCCUUGAUACUGGGAAUCUUGAGUAUGGGAGAGGUGAGUGGAACUGCGAGUGUAGAGGUGAAAUUCGUAGAUAUUGGGAAGAACACCGGUGGCGAAGGCGGCAACCUGGUCCUUGACUGACGCUGAGGCGCGAAAGCGUGGGGAGCAAACAGGAUUAGAUACCCCGGUAGUCCCUGUCUCUUAUAC
RNAcentral lists this ribosomal RNA (301 nucleotides) under uncultured bacterium. RNAcentral's name for it is "partial 16S ribosomal RNA". It matches the Rfam family "Bacterial small subunit ribosomal RNA", at positions 509 to 807 of the family's 1533-position model. The record is from RNAcentral.